RNAcentral lists this ribosomal RNA (497 nucleotides) under uncultured bacterium. RNAcentral describes it as "partial 16S ribosomal RNA". It matches the Rfam family "Bacterial small subunit ribosomal RNA", at positions 28 to 507 of the family's 1533-position model. The record is from RNAcentral.
GAUGAACGCUGGCGGCGUGCCUAAUACAUGCGAGUCGAGCGAACAGACGAGGAGCUUGCUCCUCUGACGUUAGCGGCGGACGGGUGAGUAACACGUGGAUAACCUACCUAUAAGACUGGGAUAACUUCGGGAAACCGGAGCUAAUACCGGAUAAUAUAUUGAACCGCAUGGUUCAAUAGUGAAAGACGGUUUUGCUGUCACUUAUAGAUGGAUCCGCGCCGCAUUAGCUAGUUGGUAAGGUAACGGCUUACCAAGGCAACGAUGCGUAGCCGACCUGAGAGGGUGAUCGGCCACACUGGAACUGAGACACGGUCCAGACUCCUACGGGAGGCAGCAGGAGGGAAUCUUCCGCAAUGGGCGAAAGCCUGACGGAGCAACGCCGCGUGAGUGAUGAGGGUCUUCCGAUCCUAAAACUCUGUUAUUAGGGAAGAACAACUGUGUAAUUAACUAUGCACGUCUUGACGGUACCUACUCAGAUAGCCACGGCUAACUACGUG